Molecule: long non-coding RNA, 650 nt
Organism: Scatophagus argus
Lineage: Eukaryota; Metazoa; Chordata; Actinopteri; Scatophagidae
Exons: 3
Source: RefSeq, a predicted model, not a curated record
CUGGGCAGGAGUGCUCAAAAGCUCCUGUGCCAGCAGCAGAGGUUAGGGGUCUCUAGAGUGGGGACUACUUGUGUUGAUGCUGUGAGUAUUAACCUCUGACAGUUCAGAUUCAGGCACUAAAGGAAAUGAGAGAAGCACAAGCAAACAGAUACAGAAGAAGGAGGAAAGACAGAGAUUUGCAAAGAGCUGAGGUCACAGAGCGAGCCACCAGUAUGAGGACAUAUUGGUGGCCACAGGGAACCAGGGAGUCUCUGGAGACCUGAGAGAUGAAGCCUGUGUCUUUCCCCACCACACUUACAGCAGCAUUGCAGCAGUGAAGGUCCCAGUACAGCCUGCCAGUGAACAGCACUACUGCCCCCCUAUGGACAGUCAAGUAAAUGUCAUAGAAAAAGGACCUCCUCUUUAGAGAUUUGCAUAUUUAAAUGAAUAGAAAGAUUACAUUGUCUUAAAAUGAAUCUGUGGGUCUGGACAACAUUACUGAGAGAAACACCAACCUGUCCAACAUUACUACAAAAAACUGGGUUGGGGAGUAAGUAGAGGAUCAUACAGUACCACUGGAAGGGGGAAGUACUCCUUUAUGUAGUCAAAAGUACUAAUGUCACACCAUGAAAGUAUUCUGUUACAAGUAAAACUCCUACACUGACAUGUGA